GACGAACGCUGGCGGCGUGCUUAACACAUGCAAGUCGAACGGUGAAGCGCCUUCCUUUUUGGUGGGUGUGGAUGAGUGGCGAACGGUUGAGUAACACGUGAGUAACCUGCCCCCUUCUUCUGGAUAACCGCAUGAAAGUGUGUCUAAUACGGGAUAUUCUGGUUCUGUCGCAUGAUUGGUCUGGGAAAGAUAUUGUUUCGGUGGGGGAUGGGCUCGCGGCCGAUCAGCUUGUUGGUGGUGUGAUGGCCUACCAAGGCGGUGACUGGUAGCCGGCCUGAGAGGGUGGACGGUCACACUGGGACUGAGACACGGCCCAGACUCCUACGGGAGGCAGCAGUGGGGAAUAUGGCACAAUGGGCGCAAGCCUGAUGCAGCGACGCCGCGUGAGGGAUGGAGGCCUUCGGGUUGUGAACCUCUUUCGCCAGUGAAGCAGGCCUGCCUCGUUUGUGGGUGGGUUGACGGUAGCUGGAUAAGAAGCGCCGGCUAACUACGUG
This 494-nucleotide ribosomal RNA is filed under the name uncultured bacterium. RNAcentral describes it as "partial 16S ribosomal RNA". It matches the Rfam family "Bacterial small subunit ribosomal RNA", at positions 28 to 507 of the family's 1533-position model. The record is from RNAcentral.